AAAAAGCUCGUAGUCGAAUUUGUGUCUCGCGCCGUCCGGUUCAUCGUUCGCGGUGUCAACUGGCGUGUCGCGAGACGUAUUGCCGGCGGGUCGUUCGCAAGAGCGGCCCAAAUGACCCCGCCGCGGUGCUCUUCACUGAGUGUCGAGGUGGGCCGGCACGUUUACUUUGAACAAACUAAGGUGCUUAAAGCAGGCUGAAAUUUUGCCCGAAUAUUUUAUGCAUGGAAUAAUGAAACAGGACCUCGAUUCUAUUUUGUUGGUUUUCGGAACCUCGAGGUAAUGAUUAACAGGAACGGAUGGGGGCAUUCGUAUUGCGACGUUAGAGGUGAAAUUCUUGGAUCGUCGCAAGACGGACAGAAGCGAAAGCAUUUGCCAAAAACGUUUUCAUUGAUCAAGAACGAAAGUUAGAGGUUCGAAGGCGAUCAGAUACCGCCCUAGUUCUAACCAUAAACUAUGCCAGCUAGCGAUCCGCCGACGUUCCUCCGAUGACUCGGCGGGCAGCUUCCGGGAAACCAAAGCUUUUGGGUUCCGGGGGAAGUAUGGUUGCAAAGCUGAAACUUAAAGGAAUUGACGGAAGGGCACCACCAGGAGUGGAGCCUGCGGCUUAAUUUGACUCAACACGGGAAACCUCACCAGGCCCGGACACCGGAAGGAUUGACAGAUUGAGAGCUCUUUCUUGAUUCGGUGGGUGGUGGUGCAUGGCCGUUCUUAGUUGGUGGAGCGAUUUGUCUGGUUAAU
This 738-nucleotide ribosomal RNA is filed under the name Myzia subvittata. RNAcentral describes it as "SSU rRNA". It matches the Rfam family "Eukaryotic small subunit ribosomal RNA", at positions 621 to 1323 of the family's 1831-position model. Lineage: Eukaryota; Metazoa; Arthropoda; Insecta; Coleoptera; Coccinellidae. The record is from RNAcentral.